RNAcentral lists this transfer RNA (72 nucleotides) under Camelus bactrianus (Bactrian camel). It matches the Rfam family "tRNA". From Rfam's summary of the family: Transfer RNA (tRNA) molecules are approximately 80 nucleotides in length. The record is from Rfam by way of RNAcentral. Lineage: Eukaryota; Metazoa; Chordata; Mammalia; Artiodactyla; Camelidae. RNAcentral also lists the same sequence under 2 other names.
GAGGGUAUAGCUCAGUGGUGGAGCGCAUGCCUAGGAUACACAAGGUUCUGGGCUCAAUCCCCAGUAUCUCCA